This 424-nucleotide ribosomal RNA is filed under the name uncultured Alphaproteobacteria bacterium. RNAcentral describes it as "bacterial SSU rRNA". It matches the Rfam family "Bacterial small subunit ribosomal RNA", at positions 36 to 508 of the family's 1533-position model. The record is from RNAcentral. Lineage: Bacteria; Pseudomonadati; Pseudomonadota; Alphaproteobacteria.
CUGGCGGCAGGCCUAACACAUGCAAGUCGAGCGCGCCUUCGGGUGAGCGGCGGACGGGUUAGUAACGCGUGGGAACGUGCCCUUCUCUACGGAAUAGCCUCUGGAAACGGAGAGUAAUACCGUAUACGCCCUUUGGGGGAAAGAUUUAUCGGAGAAGGAUCGGCCCGCGUUAGAUUAGGUAGUUGGUGGGGUAACGGCCUACCAAGCCUACGAUCUAUAGCUGGUUUUAGAGGAUGAUCAGCAACACUGGGACUGAGACACGGCCCAGACUCCUACGGGAGGCAGCAGUGGGGAAUCUUAGACAAUGGGGGCAACCCUGAUCUAGCCAUGCCGCGUGAGUGAUGAAGGCCUUAGGGUCGUAAAGCUCUUUCGCCUGUGAUGAUAAUGACAGUAGCAGGUAAAGAAACCCCGGCUAACUCCGUGC